GCGGAGAGGUCGCUGUCCUCCCGGGCGGGGCGCGCGGGGUCCGCCGCCCGGGGGCGCCCCCAGCGCGCGGACGGCGGGAUCCUGCAGCCUCUUCCAGGUCUGAACGCAGGGAGGGGUGAGGUAAGCUGUGAUGCCCCACGAGCCAGCCAGGGAGUGGAGGGGGAAGAGGAGGCUCCAGAACUAUCCUGAGCCAUAACCUCCCCUUCCGCCGGGGUGGGAUAGGAAGGGUGACCAGGAAGGGUGGGAAAUUUGGGGACUAUCCGAAGUCGGAACCACCCGUAACCCCUGACAUGUAAACGCUCCUGGGCUCUGGCUCCAACAACCCGCUCCAAGCUUGGGGGUGCCGCAUCCCCGGCCCAAUCAGGGCGGCCUUCCUGAAGGAGGAAGAGGGGAGCAGCAUUUUCCAGUUGCAGGCAGAGGCCGGAGCGCCAGCCGCGCGGACUCCUUUGUACCGCGGGAAUCUGUGGCUUUCCUGGAGGCGGGGGCUGAGCGGCCACCGGAGCGCUGCAGCGAGGGCGACGGCGGAGGCCGCGCGGGAGCCCAGGGCGCGCGGGGAAUCUUCACCUGCGGGCAGGAAAAAGCGCUCCGCGAGUUCCGCAGACCCCAACCCAGGCUGGAGGAUUACCCCGGCCUGUGCCUCAUAUUCCGAACAGGGAAGGUUGGCACAAAGUAGUCCCAGGAGCUGAGCGGGAAACUGAGGCAAUGUGCAUGCUGCUCCCAGCUUAGCCCCUGAAAUGAGCGGCGUACAGGCCUGAUGUUGACUGGGGAGGAGGGGCGGCUGCGAGAAGGAAGACAGGACAGUCCCUCCGUUUCUUCUUUAUACCCCGAAUCUUCAGUGCCUCCCAUUCCCGCAGUGAAAGGCUCAGGCGCGCGCUGAUCCUUUAAUUCCCGAGACUAGAUCUUGUUCGUUGUGAAUUGAAUUUAACGCCCCCCUCCCCGCGCCAUUCGGUCAAAAGGCACCUCUGCGCCCUCUGGCGGCCGCUGCUCCCUUACAGAAAGGCACGCACCUGUUCUUCCUUUUCUGUCCAACAGCCAAAAAAAAAAAAAAAAAAAAAAAAAAAGAAAAAGAAAAAGAUGCUUCAAACAUCCCAGCACAGCUCAACCACCCAGCAAAGACUGUUCUGGCCAAAGAGACUGGAGAUCCAGUAUCAGCAAGCAUUUAGCACUGAAUACUAUGAGAUUAUGGCUAAAAGAUGGUCAAGACUGCCUCAGCCUUUAGGAUCAGAAUUCUAAGUUCCAAAGAAGAGCAAACUCAGGAGGAUUUCCUCAGGCCUCUGCCUAUAGAUGCUGCCUGGGGAGAACAGGUGCCACACUCAAAACAUUCUCAAGAUAUUUAUAUUCUCCCUGAACUAGUACCCAACUCCAUAACCCCAGACUCAAAUAUUUAACAGAAAUAAAAGCCAUCUCAUUGAUUA
Macaca mulatta (Rhesus monkey) is the source of this 1415-nucleotide long non-coding RNA. RefSeq lists it as uncharacterized. The record is from RefSeq and is a predicted model, not a curated record. Lineage: Eukaryota; Metazoa; Chordata; Mammalia; Primates; Cercopithecidae.